This 483-nucleotide ribosomal RNA is filed under the name uncultured bacterium. Its description in RNAcentral is "partial 16S ribosomal RNA". It matches the Rfam family "Bacterial small subunit ribosomal RNA", at positions 30 to 506 of the family's 1533-position model. The record is from RNAcentral.
AUUGAACGCUGGCGGCAGGCCUAACACAUGCAAGUCGAGCGGAUGAAGGGAGCUUGCUCCUGGAUUCAGCGGCGGACGGGUGAGUAAUGCCUAGGAAUCUGCCUGGUAGUGGGGGAUAACGUCCGGAAACGGGCGCUAAUACCGCAUACGUCCUGAGGGAGAAAGUGGGGGAUCUUCGGACCUCACGCUAUCAGAUGAGCCUAGGUCGGAUUAGCUAGUUGGUGGGGUAAAGGCCUACCAAGGCGACGAUCCGUAACUGGUCUGAGAGGAUGAUCAGUCACACGGGAACUGAGACACGGUCCAGGCGCCGACGGGAGGCAGCAGUGGGGAAUAUGGGAAAAUGGGCGAAAGCCUGAACCAGCCAUGCCGCGGGGGUGAAGAAGGUCUUCGGAUUGUAAAGCUCUUUAAGUUGGGAGAAAGGGCAGUAAGUUAAUACCUUGCUGUUUUGACGUUACCAAAAGAAUAAGCACCGGCUAACUUCGU